Molecule: ribosomal RNA, 387 nt
Filed under: uncultured bacterium
Lineage: Bacteria
Description: bacterial SSU rRNA
Rfam family: Bacterial small subunit ribosomal RNA
Source: RNAcentral
AUUGAACGCUGGCGGCAUGCCUUACACAUGCAGGUCGAACGACGUUACGGGGGCAACUCCGUAGCGAGUGGCGAACGGGUGAGUAAUGCAUCGGAACGUGCCCUCUUGUGGGGGAUAACCAGUCGAAAGAUUGGCUAAUACCGCAUGAGCUCGAGAGAGGAAAGCGGGGGAUCCGCAAGGACCUCGCGCGAGAGGAGCGGCCGAUGCCCGAUUAGCUAGUUGGUGGGGUAAAAGCCCACCAAGGCGACGAUCGGUAGCUGGUCUGAGAGGACGACCAGCCACACUGGGACUGAGACACGGCCCAGACUCCUACGGGAGGCAGCAGUGGGGAAUUUUGGACAAUGGGGCAACCCUGAUCCAGCCAUGCCGCGUGUGUGAAGAAGGCCU